This 479-nucleotide ribosomal RNA is filed under the name uncultured bacterium. Its description in RNAcentral is "bacterial SSU rRNA". It matches the Rfam family "Bacterial small subunit ribosomal RNA", at positions 32 to 521 of the family's 1533-position model. The record is from RNAcentral.
AAUCAACGCUGGCGGCGUGCCUCAGACAUGCAAGUCGAACGAUUAAAGCUCUCUUCGGAGAGUGUAUAGAGUGGCGCACGGGUGAGUAACACGUAAGUAAUCUACCUUCGAGUGGGGAAUACCGUCCGGAAACGGACGCUAAUACCGCAUAAUGCAGCGGCAUCGUAAGAUGACAGUUGUUAAAGAUUUUAUCGCUUGAAGAGGAGCUUGCGGCAGAUUAGCUAGUUGGUAAGGUAAUGGCUUACCAAGGCUACGAUCUGUAACCGGUCUUAGAGGACGGUCGGUCACACUGACACUGAAUAACGGGUCAGACUCCUACGGGAGGCAGCAGUCGGGAAUUUGGGCAAUGGGCGAAAGCCUGACCCAGCAACGCCGCGUGAAGGAUGAAGUAUUUCGGUAUGUAAACUUCGAAAGAAUAGGAAGAAUAAAUGACGGUACUAUUUAUAAGGUCCGGCUAACUACGUGCCAGCAGCCGCGGU